This 260-nucleotide unclassified non-coding RNA is filed under the name Hevea brasiliensis (rubber tree). The record is from RNAcentral. Lineage: Eukaryota; Viridiplantae; Streptophyta; Magnoliopsida; Malpighiales; Euphorbiaceae.
ACGACGUCGCCGCAUCCCUUUAACUUUUGUGUGCCCUUAGUUUUGUCCUUGGAUUUUGCAGCUGGAUGAACAUGGCAGCUGGUGCACCUGGGUCUACCGCACUUGCCGGUGAACUUGGAAUGGUUACUGGGCUUAGUUGGGACCUUUGCGAAAAGCCCAGCGGUUGGUGGUGAAUUGGACUUGUUCAUGUACCUGGGCUCGGGUCUUGGGUUCCAUGGAGAGGGUAAAAUUGGGUAAGUACGGACCAUACCGUGUUGGCG